UCAAGCUGUAAAGGGCGCAAGGGGAAUGCCUUGGCACUGAGAGCCGAUGAAGGACGCGACAAGCUGCGAUAAGCUACGGGGAGCCGCAAAUGGGCUUUGAUCCGUAGAUUUCCGAAUGGGGAAACCCGGCAGAGCAAUACUCUGUCAACGUACACUGAAUACAUAGGUGUACGUGGGGAACCGCCUGAACUGAAACAUCUAAGUAGGGCGAGGAAGAGAAAUCAACCGAGAUUCCGCUAGUAGUGGCGAGCGAACGCGGAAGAGGCCAAACCGGAGGUAGCAAUAUUUCCGGGGUUAGGACUGCAAUAUGUAACUUUAAUCUUUAACUGAAUGCUUUGGGAAGAGCAGCGAAACAGGGUGAUAGCCCCGUAAGUGAAAGAGAUUGAGUGCUAGCAGUAUCCAGAGUACCAGCGGACACGUGAAACCCGCUGGGAAGAUGGGGGGACCAUCCUCCAAGCCUAAAUACUACUCAGUGACCGAUAGUGGAGCAGUACCGUGAGGGAAAGGUGAAAAGUACCCCGGGAGGGGAGUGAAAGAGAACCUGAAACCUUGUGCCUACAAGCACCGAGAGUCCGUUAAUGGAUGAUCGGGUACUUUUUGUAGAACGGUCCGGCGAGUUAAUAUUUGCAGCGAGGUUAAGUAACUGGAGUUACGGAGCCGUAGCGAGAGCGAGUCUGAAUAGGGCGUAUGAAGUUGCAGGUAUUAGACCCGAAACCGGGUGACCUAUCCAUGAGCAGGCUGAAGCGGUGGUAAGACACCGUGGAGGGCCGCACCCACGUCUGUUGAAAAAGCCGGGGAUGACUUGUGGAUAGCGGAGAAAUUCCAAUCGAACUCGGAGAUAGCUGGUUCUCCCCGAAAUAGCUUUAGGGCUAGCGUUAUUUUAGAUUACCGGAGGUAAAGCACUGAAUGGUCUAGGGGCCGCGAGGUUACCAAAGCCUAUCAAACUCUGAAUGCCGGAUAAUUGAUGAAUAGCAGUCAGACUGUGUGAGAUAAGUCUCAUAGUCAAAAGGGAAACAGCCCAGAUCUACAGCUAAGGUCCCAAAUGAACACUAAGUGGAAAAUGAUGUGAAACUGCGAAGACAACCAGGAUGUUGGCUUAGAAGCAGCCACUCAUUCAAAGAGUGCGUAAUAGCUCACUGGUCGAGUGGUUUUGCGCAGAAAAUGUAACGGGGCUAAGUGUUCAACCGAAGCUUAGGCAUUGUACUUUGUACAUUGGGUAGGGGAGCGUCGUAUGCGGGGCGAAGUCAGAGCGGAAGCACUGGUGGACUGCAUACGAGUGAGAAUGCCGGAAUAAGUAGCGAGAAUUAUGUGAGAAUCAUAAUGGCCGAAAAUCUAAGGUUUCCUGGGGAAGGUUCGUCCGCCCAGGGUUAGUCGGGAGCUAAGCUCAGGCCGAGAGGCGUAGGCGAUGCACAUACGGUAGAAAUUCCGUAACCACCGAACUUUAAGCUAGAGGGACGCUUUCUUUAAGGUUAUCCCGGGCGAUGGUUGCCCCGGGCGUAAGGGACCGAAAUUUAGUAGGGAAGUAACUGGCGAGAGAGACGAGAAAAGCUCUAGUGUAUACUAAGGUGCCCGUACCGCAAACCGACACAGGUAGAAGGGAUGAGUAUUCUAAGGCCAACGGGAGAAGGGUUGUUAAGGAACUCGGCAAAUUGGCCCCGUAACUUCGGGAUAAGGGGCGCCUGCGAGAGCAGGCCGCAGUGAAAAGGCCCAAGCGACUGUUUAGCAAAAACACAGCUCUCUGCUAAAUCGAAAGAUGACGUAUAGGGGGUGACGCCUGCCCGGUGCUGGAAGGUUAAGGGGAGUGCUUAGCGCAAGCGAAGGUGCGAACUUAAGCCCCAGUAAACGGCGGCCGUAACUAUAACGGUCCUAAGGUAGCGAAAUUCCUUGUCAGGUAAGUUCUGACCCGC
RNAcentral lists this ribosomal RNA (1907 nucleotides) under human gut metagenome. Its description in RNAcentral is "bacterial LSU rRNA". It matches the Rfam family "Bacterial large subunit ribosomal RNA", at positions 3 to 1991 of the family's 2925-position model. The record is from RNAcentral.